GAGGAGAGACAAUGUUUUCCCUAAAGCUCUUUGUGUUGUUGGCAGCCAUACACAGUGUUUACUCACAGGUUGUGCUCACACAGUCUGAACAGUCAGUAGUUGUGUCUCCAGGUGCUUCCUACAAACUGACCUGUGCCUGCAGUGGGUUUACUCUUAGUAGCUAUCGCAUGCACUGGAUCCGUCAGGCACCUGGAAAAGGACUGGAAUGGAUCUUACACUAUUAUACAGACUCUGACAAAGGCUCAGCUCAGUCAGUUCAGGGCAGAUUCACAGCAUCUAAGGACAGCUCUAAUCUCUAUCUACACAUGAGUCAGUUAAAGACUGAAGACACUGCAGUGUAUUACUGUGCAAGAGAUUCACUUUUACGCACCCCUGACAGAAUCUACUCACCAAGGAUGGAUUCAGCAGAGGAAACGGAGCUGCGCCGAGCUCUUCAGCAGCAGGGCUCUCUUCUGGGUCGACAGCAGGAGGAAAUUGAAGUGAAGUGA
Non-coding RNA from Carassius auratus (goldfish), 488 nucleotides. The record is from the annotation of a RefSeq genome assembly. Lineage: Eukaryota; Metazoa; Chordata; Actinopteri; Cypriniformes; Cyprinidae.